UACGGAGGGGGCGAGCGUUGUCCGAAGUUACUGGGCGUAAAGCGCGCGUAGGCGGGUCGAAAAGUCCGCUGUGAAAGCCCGAGGCUUAACCUCGGCGGGUCGGUGGAUACUGUCGGUCUUGAAGGUGCUAGGGGGAGAUGGAAUUACCGGUGUAGCGGUGAAAUGCGUAGAUAUCGGUAGGAACACCAGUGGCGAAGGCGGUCUCCUGGGGCAUUCUUGACGCUGAGGCGCGAAAGCUGGGGGAGCGAACGGG
RNAcentral lists this ribosomal RNA (253 nucleotides) under uncultured bacterium. RNAcentral's name for it is "partial 16S ribosomal RNA". It matches the Rfam family "Bacterial small subunit ribosomal RNA", at positions 524 to 776 of the family's 1533-position model. The record is from RNAcentral.